GACGAACCGUGCGACCGUUGUUCGGAAUCACUGGGCUUAAAGGGCGCGUAGGCGGCUUGCCAAGUCAGGGGUGAAAUCCAGCAGCUUAACUGUUGAAGUGCCUUUGAUACUGGCGAGCUCGAGGGAGGUAGGGGUCUGUGGAACUUCUGGUGGAGCGGUGAAAUGCGUUGAUAUCAGAAGGAACGCCGGUGGCGAAAGCGACGGACUGGACCUCUUCUGACGCUGAGGCGCGAAAGCUAGGGGAGCAAACGGG
Molecule: ribosomal RNA, 253 nt
Filed under: uncultured bacterium
Lineage: Bacteria
Description: partial 16S ribosomal RNA
Rfam family: Bacterial small subunit ribosomal RNA
Source: RNAcentral